RNAcentral lists this ribosomal RNA (273 nucleotides) under uncultured bacterium. Its description in RNAcentral is "partial 16S ribosomal RNA". It matches the Rfam family "Bacterial small subunit ribosomal RNA", at positions 524 to 796 of the family's 1533-position model. The record is from RNAcentral.
UACGGAGGAUCCGAGCGUUAUCCGGAUUUAUUGGGUUUAAAGGGUGCGUAGGCGGCCUUUUAAGUCAGCGGUGAAAGUCUGUGGCUCAACCAUAGAAUUGCCGUUGAAACUGGGGGGCUUGAGUAUGUUUGAGGCAGGCGGAAUGCGUGGUGUAGCGGUGAAAUGCUUAGAUAUCACGCAGAACCCCGAUUGCGAAGGCAGCCUGCCAAGCCAUGACUGACGCUGAUGCACGAAAGCGUGGGGAUCAAACAGGAUUAGAUACCCGGGUAGUCC